GCCUUCGUGGUGUAGUGGUCAGCACGCUUGGCGCGUAUUCGAGAGGUCCGUGGUUCGAUUCCCGGUGAAGGCA
RNAcentral lists this transfer RNA (73 nucleotides) under Stegodyphus mimosarum. It matches the Rfam family "tRNA". Rfam says of the family: Transfer RNA (tRNA) molecules are approximately 80 nucleotides in length. Lineage: Eukaryota; Metazoa; Arthropoda; Arachnida; Araneae; Eresidae. The record is from Rfam by way of RNAcentral.